This 497-nucleotide ribosomal RNA is filed under the name uncultured bacterium. RNAcentral describes it as "partial 16S ribosomal RNA". It matches the Rfam family "Bacterial small subunit ribosomal RNA", at positions 28 to 507 of the family's 1533-position model. The record is from RNAcentral.
GAUGAACGCUGGCGGCGUGCCUAAUACAUGCAAGUCGAGCGAACAGACGAGGAGCUUGCUCCUCUGACGUUAGCGGCGGACGGGUGAGUAACACGUGGAUAACCUACCUAUAAGACUGGGAUAACUUCGGGAAACCGGAGCUAAUACCGGAUAAUAUAUUGAACCGCAUGGUUCAAUAGUGAAAGACGGUUUUGCUGUCACUUAUAGAUGGAUCCGCGCCGCAUUAGCUAGUUGGUAAGGUAACGGCUUACCAAGGCAACGAUGCGCAGCCGACCUGAGAGGGGGGUUGGCCACCCGGGAACGUGGACAGCGUCCCGGCCUCCAAGGGAGGCAGCAGUAGGGAAUCUUCCGCAAUGGGCGAAAGCCUGACGGAGCAACGCCGCGUGAGUGAUGAAGGUCUUCGGAUCGUAAAACUCUGUUAUUAGGGAAGAACAAAUGUGUAAGUAACUAUGCACGUCUUGACGGUACCUAAUCAGAAAGCCACGGCUAACUACGUG